This is a long non-coding RNA of Helianthus annuus (common sunflower), 235 nucleotides long. RefSeq lists it as uncharacterized. The record is from RefSeq and is a predicted model, not a curated record. NCBI's taxonomy places the organism in Eukaryota, Viridiplantae, Streptophyta, Magnoliopsida, Asterales, Asteraceae. The transcript is spliced from 3 exons.
GGAAGAACAAACCCUAAUCAACACAAAUCAAUCAAAUUGAAAGGGGAUUUGGAGUCUAGGUGAAUGUAUGACUUAAGAAUGGUGAUCACCUAAGUGUUUCUUGUAUCAAGCACAAAGAAGGAAGAAGGCGCGAGUCACUCAAAGGCACAAUCAUCACAAGAUCGCGGUAAAUCUCUUGCUUGAAUGCAGCGCGCCCGAACCGAACACACACACGAAACGUCGACUCUAAGCGCUU